RNAcentral lists this ribosomal RNA (775 nucleotides) under Stenotrophomonas sp. DDT-1. RNAcentral's name for it is "bacterial SSU rRNA". It matches the Rfam family "Bacterial small subunit ribosomal RNA", at positions 1 to 765 of the family's 1533-position model. Lineage: Bacteria; Pseudomonadati; Pseudomonadota; Gammaproteobacteria; Lysobacterales; Lysobacteraceae. The record is from RNAcentral.
UAAGUGAAGAGUUUGAUCCUGGCUCAGAGUGAACGCUGGCGGUAGGCCUAACACAUGCAAGUCGAACGGCAGCACAGGAGAGCUUGCUCUCUGGGUGGCGAGUGGCGGACGGGUGAGGAAUACAUCGGAAUCUACUCUGUCGUGGGGGAUAACGUAGGGAAACUUACGCUAAUACCGCAUACGACCUACGGGUGAAAGCAGGGGACCUUCGGGCCUUGCGCGAUUGAAUGAGCCGAUGUCGGAUUAGCUAGUUGGCGGGGUAAAGGCCCACCAAGGCGACGAUCCGUAGCUGGUCUGAGAGGAUGAUCAGCCACACUGGAACUGAGACACGGUCCAGACUCCUACGGGAGGCAGCAGUGGGGAAUAUUGGACAAUGGGCGCAAGCCUGAUCCAGCCAUACCGCGUGGGUGAAGAAGGCCUUCGGGUUGUAAAGCCCUUUUGUUGGGAAAGAAAUCCAGCUGGCUAAUACCCGGUUGGGAUGACGGUACCCAAAGAAUAAGCACCGGCUAACUUCGUGCCAGCAGCCGCGGUAAUACGAAGGGUGCAAGCGUUACUCGGAAUUACUGGGCGUAAAGCGUGCGUAGGUGGUUAUUUAAGUCCGUUGUGAAAGCCCUGGGCUCAACCUGGGAACUGCAGUGGAUACUGGAUGACUAGAAUGUGGUAGAGGGUAGCGGAAUUCCUGGUGUAGCAGUGAAAUGCGUAGAGAUCAGGAGGAACAUCCAUGGCGAAGGCAGCUACCUGGACCAACAUUGACACUGAGGCACGAAAGCGUGGG